AGUGAUUAAGUGAUUCAACCAUAUAGUUUUACACUAUGUUUGGAUCAUGGUUCCUCGUAGUUUCAUCUCUCCUAGUUCUCCUAAUUCUUGAAAAAGGGUGAUUUUAAGUUAUAAAAUGAUAGUUUCUUAACCAUCAUUUUACCACAAGUUUUCAAACCACCAAAUUCAUCUUUUAAAAUUUUUAUAUUCACAUUUUAUCCUUACACAAUUUAUAAAAUUUCAAUUAUAUCUUUUUCCUUUUAAUUUUCAUAAACUCUUUCUUAUCCCUUAUCUUUCGUAAAGAGUAUUUUUGUAACAUUUAUAUUUAUUUUAAUAUACCUAACAAAAAAACAAUAUUAAACCAUUCUAUAAAAAUCAUACCAUAUGAUACAAUAUGAUACUAUACAUUAUUAAACCACCUUGUACUUCAUCCUCCAAACAUUGUGCAAGAGUCAAAUAGAACAUUGCAGAGAUUAAAAGAGACUUAAUUAGAAGUGUUUGAGGAACUCCACAACUGAAAAACUAAAAGCACGAGAUGCAACUUGAACAUGAGAAAACCCUGCCUCUUUAGCCAGAGUUUUGAAUUCUCUCUCUGUUCUAUCCUUUCGCUUUGGAUUCAUGUUUGUAAAGAGCAAAUAUGUCUGUAGCACGCUUUUAUCUGCAGCAUUAGCUACAGUAGUUUCUGGAACUACCAAGUCCACUACUAUCACUUUUCCAUUACUUGGCAAAGCUUCAUAGCAAUUCUUUAACACUUUUAAGCAGGCUUGAUCAUCCCACAUGUGAAGUACCCACUGUUCAUUCAAAAUUAUAAGGCCAUUUCACUUAAAUGAUUUGACAUCCUACGGAUAAGAGAGAGCUACUAAUUAAACAAAUCUUUCUGCAUAUAUGAGAUCUAACCUUAAUGAAAAUGGCUUCUCCUUUUGGAACACUCACGAACAUAUCUCCCGCAACAUGCUCGAUACCUGCAAUAAGCUUUGUAUAAUUGAUUAAACUAUUUUUGGAAUUGAACAGGUUGUUAAUUAACAAACAAUUUAACGCUAUAGAAUAGGAUUCAGUUUCAAUAAAAUUUUGCUCAGUGCUACUGAUUAAGUCGUAUCUAGGAUUUCAAAAUCUUCUCGAGUUUGAGUCUCCCAAAGCCGAAUCAAUUACAAAAAAUUCAAUUAACUAAAUAAAAUACCUGUAUAAGAGGGCGAUUUUUCUAUAACUGAAGCCAAAUCAUAGUUGGUACCCUUAAUGGAAGGAUACUUGGAAACGAUCAUGUUAAGGAGAGAACCGUCUCCCCCUCCCACGUCCACCAAGGACUUUAGACCUUGAAAACCAUCAUAUAUGUCCAGAAUUCUAUGCAUCAGUAGAGUGUUAAAGUCUCUCAUGGAGCCCUUGAAUUUUUCACCAAAUCUCAUAUCUUUUCCCAUGUACUCCAUAACCCUCAUCCCGUGUGCCUUUUCAAAUGUACCACCUCCUUCAACAACUGCAUCUUUUAAGUGGUACCAAGUAUCCAGGAUGACUUUGUCGUGUAUCGUAGCUAGAAAGGGAGCCAAGCAUCCCCCAUCUUGGUCCUUGAUGAAGUAUUUGGCCACAGGUGCUAAACCAUAUAACCUAUUAAGCUGUCCAUCUUGGGUGCUGAAGGUUACAGAGCAAGUGAGAAUAGAAUUGCUAGCGAGAAGGAGGAGGAUACGGUCUAGCAAAAGGGGGGCCAUCUGGGCUGUUGGGGCAGCAAGCUGGGAGGCAAUUUGCGAAGAGGAAAGCAGGACGCCGGGACCAGCUUUCUCUAUAAUCUCAAACACGCCUAGAUCUGUUGCUGCCUUCAGGGCCAUGGGCAAUACUGAUGCACUGGCAAGUUGCAUGGCAUACUGGCAGUGGUAUUCUUCUUCUUCAACAUUGGUAGCUGUAGAGGUUGCCAUUUGGUUUUCCUUUGGAUUUCAUUUGGGUAAAUUUGGUUUCCUAUAAAAUGAUCAUCUAGUUCUAAGUUUGGGUGUACGUGGAAACAUGAGAUUGGAGUUCUGUUGCUUAAUCUAGCACGCCAUUGACUUUUUAACUCAGGUGACUAAUUUUCUA
RNAcentral lists this unclassified non-coding RNA (2034 nucleotides) under Hevea brasiliensis (rubber tree). The record is from RNAcentral. Lineage: Eukaryota; Viridiplantae; Streptophyta; Magnoliopsida; Malpighiales; Euphorbiaceae.